CCUACGGGAGGCAGCAGUGGGGAAUAUUGCACAAUGGGGGGAACCCUGAUGCAGCGACGCCGCGUGAGUGAAGAAGUAUUUCGGUAUGGAAAGCUCUAUCAGCAGGGAAGAAAAUGACGGUACCUGACUAAGAAGCCCCGGCUAACUACGUGCCAGCAGCCGCGGUAAUAUGUAGGGGGCAAGCGUUAUCCGGAUUUACUGGGCGUAAAGGGAGCGUAGACGGUUCUGCAAGUCUGAAGUGAAAGCCCAAGGCUCAACCAUGGGACUGCUUUGGAAACUGUCAAACUGGAGUGCAGGAGAGGUAAUCGGACUUCCUAGUGUAGCGGUGAAAUGCUUAGAUCUUAGGAGGAACACCAGUGGC
This 361-nucleotide ribosomal RNA is filed under the name uncultured bacterium. Its description in RNAcentral is "partial 16S ribosomal RNA". It matches the Rfam family "Bacterial small subunit ribosomal RNA", at positions 338 to 716 of the family's 1533-position model. The record is from RNAcentral.